RNAcentral lists this ribosomal RNA (403 nucleotides) under uncultured bacterium. Its description in RNAcentral is "bacterial SSU rRNA". It matches the Rfam family "Bacterial small subunit ribosomal RNA", at positions 355 to 774 of the family's 1533-position model. The record is from RNAcentral.
UAGGGAAUAUUGCAAAAUGGGCGAAAGCCCGAUGCAGCAACGCCGCGUGGGAGAUGAAGGCCUUCGGGUCGUAAAGCCCUUUUUGAGGGGAUGAGGAAGGACAGUACCCUCAGAAUAAGCCUCGGCUAACUACGUGCCAGCAGCCGCGGUAAAACGUAGGAGGCGAGCGUUAUCCGGAUUUACUGGGCGUAAAGCGCGUGCAGGCGGAUUGGAGAGUUGGAUGUGAAAGCUCCCGGCUUAACUGGGAGAGGUCGUUCAAUACUUCCAGUCUUGAGUGCAGUAGAGGGAAGUGGAAUUCCGGGUGUAGUGGUGAAAUGCGUAGAUAUCCGGAGGAACACCAGUGGCGAAAGCGGCUUCCUGGACUGUAACUGACGCUCAGACGCGAAAGCUAGGGUAGCAAACG